UAGCAUACUCAUUUGACGUUAGCUGCAGAAGAAGCACCGGCUAACUCCGUGCCAGCAGCCGCGGUAAUACGGAGGGUGCGAGCGUUAAUCGGAAUUACUGGGCGUAAAGCGCAUGCAGGUGUUGUAAGUCAGAUGUGAAAGCCCGGGGCUCAACCUCGGAAUUGCAUUGAAACUGGCAAACUAGAGGUACUGUAGAGGGGGUAGAAUUUCAGGUGUAGCGGUGAAAUGCGUAGAGAUCUGAAGGAAUACCGGUGGCGAAGGCGGCCCCCUGGACAGAUACUGACACUCAGAUGCGAAAGCGUGGGGAAGCUAAACCAGGAUUAGAUACCCUCGGUAG
Molecule: ribosomal RNA, 337 nt
Filed under: uncultured bacterium
Lineage: Bacteria
Description: bacterial SSU rRNA
Rfam family: Bacterial small subunit ribosomal RNA
Source: RNAcentral